RNAcentral lists this ribosomal RNA (230 nucleotides) under uncultured bacterium. RNAcentral describes it as "partial 16S ribosomal RNA". It matches the Rfam family "Bacterial small subunit ribosomal RNA", at positions 524 to 753 of the family's 1533-position model. The record is from RNAcentral.
UACGAAGGGGGCUAGCGUUGUUCGGAAUUACUGGGCGUAAAGCGCGCGCAGGCGGCUAUCCAAGUCAGUGGUGAAAGCCCGGAGCUCAACUCCGGAACUGCCAUUGAAACUGUUAGCUGAGGAUGAGAGAGGUGAGUGGAAUUCCCAGUGUAGAGGUGAAAUUCGUAGAUAUUGGGAAGAACACCGGUGGCGAAGGCGGCUAGCACUGGCUCGAUACUGACGCUCAGGCG